This 468-nucleotide ribosomal RNA is filed under the name Fusarium oxysporum f. sp. lycopersici. RNAcentral describes it as "eukaryotic LSU rRNA". The stretch from base 123 to 276 matches the Rfam family "5.8S ribosomal RNA". The record is from RNAcentral. Lineage: Eukaryota; Fungi; Ascomycota; Sordariomycetes; Hypocreales; Nectriaceae.
GUGACAUACCACUUGUUGCCUCGGCGGAUCAGCCCGCUCCCGGUAAAACGGGACGGCCCGCCAGAGGACCCCUAAACUCUGUUUCUAUAUGUAACUUCUGAGUAAAACCAUAAAUAAAUCAAAACUUUCAACAACGGAUCUCUUGGUUCUGGCAUCGAUGAAGAACGCAGCAAAAUGCGAUAAGUAAUGUGAAUUGCAGAAUUCAGUGAAUCAUCGAAUCUUUGAACGCACAUUGCGCCUGCCAGUAUUCUGGCGGGCAUGCCUGUUCGAGCGUCAUUUCAACCCUCAAGCACAGCUUGGUGUUGGGACUCGCGUUAAUUCGCGUUCCCCAAAUUGAUUGGCGGUCACGUCGAGCUUCCAUAGCGUAGUAGUAAAACCCUCGUUACUGGUAAUCGUCGCGGCCACGCCGUUAAACCCCAACUUCUGAAUGUUGACCUCGGAUCAGGUAGGAAUACCCGCUGAACUUAA